GGGCGGUGCGCGAAGAAACGCCGUCGAACGUUUGCUCGCUUUCGGCAGCCGCUCGCAUUCGCGUGUUCACGGAGGCGCGCUGCCGCCGCCACCGCCGCCGACGACGAGGACAAUCGGAUCGAAAGCGGAUGGUACGCGGCGCUCUCCGCGCGCUCCUUCCCUGAUUCCUCGCUCCUGUUCGCCCCCCUUCCUGUGACAAAGAGAGGGAGAGAGAGGGAGAUAGAGAGAGAGAGAGAGAGAACAGGAGAUACAGGGUGAUAAGCGGAGAGAGACAGGAGAGGAAAAGAGAGAGACACACGAGCCCCCGGUACGUAGGUACGCUCCAGUCGUUCAUGGCUGCGGUAGCACGAAGUGGGGGAAAACAAGCCGUGUAACAACGUAAGAUCCCGAAAGCUUUAUGCAGGAAUAUGUCAAGUUUAAAAAUCGUGUUGGUAAUGCACUUGCUUGCGCUACCCUUGAGAACGAUGGAUUCUGACCAAAGAAAUCAGCAGGUGCAUCAGCACUGAACAAAAUACAAAAAAGACUAAAUAAUGAAUGCCUGCUGCACUCACGCCGCCAACUCUGUACAAGCAGACUUAAGAUUUGUUGAAGUAGUACGUGAGUAGCAGCUACUCACGCCACACUCUCAGCUGUAUAUACCAACCUAAAUACAUAUAUAUACAUAUAUUGUCACGCAUAUAUAUGUAUAUAUAUUUAUUUUAUCGCACAUGGCAGCCAUGAAGCAUGGCAAGACGAGUCAAGACGACGUGUGUUACGUUGUCGCCAAAUAUGAUUACGGAGCACAGGGCGCCCAAGAGUUAGAUUUACGUAAGAAUGAUCGCUACCUGCUCCUGGAUGACUCGAAGCACUGGUGGAGGGUGCAGAGUGCGAGAGGACAGGCGGGUUACGUGCCGAGCAAUUAUGUCAAGAAGGAGAAGCCCUCGCUUUUUGAUAGUAUUAAGAAGAAAGUCAAGAAGGGCUCUGGUUCUAAGACCUUGCCAUCCAGUAACUCGCCAUCCCGCGCAGUCGAAUCGCCCGUUAUGGCGCGACGACUGCCGGCUGAUCCGAGCGAAGCAAUCGGCACCGCGGUCGUCAAGUAUAAUUAUCAGGCGCAGCAAGCGGACGAAUUGUCCCUCGUGAAGGGUACUAGGAUCUUGAUAUUAGAAAAAAGCAAUGAUGGCUGGUGGAGAGGUCAGAGCGGCACCCAGGCCGGUUGGUUUCCGUCGAAUUAUACUCAGGAGGAAGGCGACGCCGAUGAUACGCUGCAUACGUAUGCGAUGGCCGAGAACGUGCUCGAUAUUGUGGUGGCCCUGUACUCGUUCUCGUCUAAUAAUGAUCAGGAGCUAUCGUUCGAGAAGGGUGACCGCCUCGAGAUCCUCGACCGUCCACCGGCGGACCCCGAAUGGUACAAAGCAAGAAACAGCCAGGGACAAGUCGGCUUGGUGCCGCGCAAUUAUCUUCAGGAGCUAAGCGAAUAUUUGACACAGCCAUACCGCGGUAUGACAACUAGUGAAGUUAGCACAGGCGAUUCCUUGGAACGAAGGCCAGACCCCGGCGAUCGGCCUCAUCUCGUCGGCAAACCUUGGUACUACGGUAGUAUUACGCGCUCGCAAUGCGACACGCUGCUCAAUCAACACGGCCACGAUGGUGAUUUCCUGAUCAGGGAUAGCGAGACAAACAUGGGCGACUAUUCGGUAUCCUUAAAAGCACCAGGACGUAACAAGCAUUUUAGGGUACACGUGGAAGGAGCGCUCUACUGCAUCGGCCAGAGGAAAUUUCACACAUUAGAUCAGCUCGUAGAUCAUUACCAGAGAGCCCCAAUUUACACCAAUAAACAGGGCGAGAAGCUGUACUUGGUGCGCCCAUUACCAAAAGGCAAUUCUAGUAGCAACGGUUGCUAGGUGAAUUCGUGCCAUGAUGAAGGAGACAGUCCAUGAUGCGCUUUCAGAUGUAUCGCUAAGAUACUCGACGCCUGCCUAGUAAUAUCAAUAUCACACAUCUCCGACGUAUAAUUUAUAUUACUCUAAGUGAUCGGUAACUGUCAUACAUACAUAGACACACAAUACACACCACACCUCGGAGCUUCCAAACUACUACUAUUACUCAGCAAACGAACAAAGCAUUUUUAAUACGGCAGCUACGUGAGACAUUCGAACUAGUUGACAACACAAGGCUUAUCUUUAUAUUCAUAUGUAAUUGUAAAAGGCGAAAACCGACCAUGUUAUUACGAUUAAUAAUAUAUUACAACUACAUAUAAUAUAGACUGCAAGUGUAAUGAACAAGUAAUAAUUAAUUAUGCAAUUACGAAUGAUUAAGUGGAUCUCUACUCUGGAGCUAUUGGUAUUGAAUUAUAACAAAGACUAAGUGUUCAUUUGUGAUUUUGUAUUUAUUAGAAGUUUUUAAGUAAAUAAACUGUAUUUAAGUGUGCAUAA
This 2411-nucleotide unclassified non-coding RNA is filed under the name Harpegnathos saltator (Jerdon's jumping ant). RNAcentral's name for it is "cytoplasmic protein NCK1, transcript variant X2". The record is from RNAcentral. Lineage: Eukaryota; Metazoa; Arthropoda; Insecta; Hymenoptera; Formicidae.